UGGGGAAUUUUGGACAAUGGGCGAAAGCCUGAUCCAGCAAUGCCGCGUGUGUGAAGAAGGCCUUCGGGUUGUAAAGCACUUUUGUCCGGAAAGAAAUCCUUGGCUCUAAUACAGUCGGGGGAUGACGGUACCGGAAGAGUAAGCACCGGCUAACUACGUGCCAGCAGCCGCGGUAAUACGUAGGGUGCAAGCGUUAAUCGGAAUUACUGGGCGUAAAGCGUGCGCAGGCGGGUUUGCUAAGACCGAUGUGAAAUCCCCGGGCUCAACCUGGGAACUGCAUUGGUGACUGGCAGGCUAGAGUAUGGCAGAGGGGGGUAGAAUUCCACGUGUAGCAGUGAAAUGCGUAGAGAUGUGGAGGAAUACCGAUGGCGAAGGCAGCCCCUGGGCCAAUACUGACGCUCAUGCACGAAAGCGUGGGGAGCAAACAGGAUUAGAUACCCUGGUAGUCCACGCCCUAAACGAUGUCAACUAGUUGUUGGGGAUUCAUUUCCUUAGUAACGUAGCUAACGCGUGAAGUUGA
RNAcentral lists this ribosomal RNA (520 nucleotides) under uncultured bacterium. RNAcentral's name for it is "partial 16S ribosomal RNA". It matches the Rfam family "Bacterial small subunit ribosomal RNA", at positions 355 to 868 of the family's 1533-position model. The record is from RNAcentral.